CCUACGGGAGGCAGCAGUGGGGAAUAUUGGACAAUGGGGGCAACCCUGAUCCAGCCAUGCCGCGUGUGUGAAGAAGGCCCUCGGGUUGUAAAGCACUUUCAGUGAGGAAGAACGCCUGGUGGUUAAUACCCAUCAGGAAAGACAUCACUCACAGAAGAAGCACCGGCUAACUCCGUGCCAGCAGCCGCGGUAAUACGGAGGGUGCGAGCGUUAAUCGGAAUUACUGGGCGUAAAGCGCGCGUAGGUGGCUUGAUAAGCCGGUUGUGAAAGCCCCGGGCUCAACCUGGGAACGGCAUCCGGAACUGUCAAGCUAGAGUGCAGGAGAGGAAGGUAGAAUUCCCGGUGUAGCGGUGAAAUGCGUAGAGAUCGGGAGGAAUACCAGUGGCGAAGGCGGCCUUCUGGACUGACACUGACACUGAGGUGCGAAAGCGUGGGUAGCAAACAGGAUUAGACACCCCUGUAGUC
This 465-nucleotide ribosomal RNA is filed under the name Vreelandella stevensii. Its description in RNAcentral is "partial 16S ribosomal RNA". It matches the Rfam family "Bacterial small subunit ribosomal RNA", at positions 338 to 795 of the family's 1533-position model. The record is from RNAcentral. Lineage: Bacteria; Pseudomonadati; Pseudomonadota; Gammaproteobacteria; Oceanospirillales; Halomonadaceae.